Zingiber officinale is the source of this 959-nucleotide long non-coding RNA. RefSeq lists it as uncharacterized. The record is from RefSeq and is a predicted model, not a curated record. The transcript has 5 exons. NCBI's taxonomy places the organism in Eukaryota, Viridiplantae, Streptophyta, Magnoliopsida, Zingiberales, Zingiberaceae.
UUUUCCCCCCCCCGACUCUCUUCUUUGUUCGUUCUCUGCCGCUCGCGACUUCGGACUUCACGCGGUCGAAACCGGUGACAUCUUCUUCUCUCGGUGGCGCCGGCGAGGAGCGGACUUAGGAGUGUUGAGAGGAAGAGAGCGAUGGAGCUCGGUUUGGGGAUUUCGCCGGUUGCCGGGAAGGAACCAAGGGCAUCGGCGUUGGAUCUGGGCAUCGACAACCGGUGGUGUGAGGUUUUGGCUGUGAAUCAAGGUUUCCGAUCCCUUCUCUGUUCGUUAGCAAGAAACAGGACCGAGCCCUAAUUGAAGGAUUGGAGAGGUGAUGUGGUGAUUCCGGCCACCACAGAUUGAUUGGAUUAGUUCUUCCACCGGAGUUGUGAUCAUCUCCGGCGAUAGAAGAAGUAGAGGACCUUGAUUUAUACGAGCAGCGUGACGUGGGGUGGUUCUGUUGAUUGCGGGAUAUAUCGAGGCGGGUAUUUCUUCCUUAAGUUCUAUUUAGUUCUUUGAACUUUAAAAGCAUGGUUAUAUUUGGACAAGUAGGUUGCAUUCCUUAAAUCAGAUUAUUUGUUGUUUUCCUGCUUGUCACUUUUGCUUGAUCUUUGAUAUAAUCUGGGUUGAUUCUUUACAGUCUCUAUUCUUGUUAUCUGUGACUCUAUUGUUCAUACACAUGUAGAGUGUUGUAGGGAUGACUGUAUUGGGUAUUUGUGGUCUAUACCUGUCUAGGUUGUGAUUGGUACGUGUUAUGGGUUGUACAUGAUUAACAUUCCAUUUGCAUAGUGGUAUGUGUAGUUACGUUGGUUAUGGGUAUUGGAGGUGUUUAUGAGGGUUGAGGUUGUGGCAUGGAUGAUGAUUAUAUAUAUAUAUAUAUAUCAUGUUCAUCAUUCAUUGCAUCUGAUGACCGUUGUCUCCCUUGUGGUUGAGAGAGUCAUCAGUUGGUUUGGUUUAGCGCGCACCUUCGGCCA